AUUGAACGCUGGCGGCAUGCUUUACACAUGCAAGUCGAACGGCAGCACGGGUGCUUGCACCUGGUGGCGAGUGGCGGACGGGUGAGUAAUACAUCGGAACGUGUCCUGAAGUGGGGGAUAACGCAUCGAAAGAUGUGCUAAUACCGCAUAUACUCUGAGGAGUAAAGUAGGGGAUCGAAAGACCUUAUGCUUUUGGAGCGGCCGAUGUCUGAUUAGCUAGUUGGUGGGGUAAUUGCCCACCAAGGCGACGAUCAGUAGUUGGUCUGAGAGGACGACCAGCCACACUGGGACUGAGACACGGCCCAGACUCCUACGGGAGGCAGCAGUGGGGAAUUUUGGACAAUGGGCGCAAGCCUGAUCCAGCAAUGCCGCGUGAGUGAAGAAGGCCUUCGGGUUGUAAAGCUCUUUCAGUUGAGAAGAAAAGAUUGUAACUAAUAAUUACAGUUCAUGACGGUAUCAACAG
This 463-nucleotide ribosomal RNA is filed under the name uncultured bacterium. Its description in RNAcentral is "bacterial SSU rRNA". It matches the Rfam family "Bacterial small subunit ribosomal RNA", at positions 30 to 484 of the family's 1533-position model. The record is from RNAcentral.